RNAcentral lists this ribosomal RNA (490 nucleotides) under uncultured bacterium. Its description in RNAcentral is "partial 16S ribosomal RNA". It matches the Rfam family "Bacterial small subunit ribosomal RNA", at positions 30 to 507 of the family's 1533-position model. The record is from RNAcentral.
AUUGAACGCUGGCGGCAGGCCUAACACAUGCAAGUCGAACGGUAACAGGAAGAAGCUUGCUUGUUUGCUGACGAGUGGCGGACGGGUGAGUAAUGUCUGGGAAACUGCCUGAUGGAGGGGGAUAACUACUGGAAACGGUAGCUAAUACCGCAUAACGUCGCAAGACCAAAGAGGGGGACCUUCGGGCCUCUUGCCAUCGGAUGUGCCCAGAUGGGAUUAGCUAGUAGGUGGGGUAACGGCUCACCUAGGCGACGAUCCCUAGCUGGUCUGAGAGGAUGACCAGCCACACUGGAACUGAGACACGGUCCAGACUCCUACGGGAGGCAGCAGUGGGGAAUAUUGCACAAUGGGCGCAAGCCUGAUGCAGCCAUGCCGCGUGUAUGAAGAAGGCCUUCGGGUUGUAAAGUACUUUCAGCGGGGAGGAAGGGAGUAAAGUUAAUACCUUUGCUCAUUGACGUUACCCGCAGAAGAAGCACCGGCUAACUCCGUG